UUUUCAUUCAUCAGCCGUUUCAUUCUUAACCUAUUCCUUUUUCAUUCACCAGCAUCUCUUCCUGUUUUUCUUCACCAAGGCCCUCCUCCUCUGAAAUUUUCUCCUCCAGGAACGACAUUUUCGCCCUCCUCCCCUGGAAGAAUUAAGGCUACGGAUCUCAGAUCCGCGAUGCAUAUGGAAUUCAAGAUUUGAUUCGGAGCUUCCAUUCUCAGAUUUCUGCAUCAGAAAUCUAGGACAUUUCCACAAAAAUACAUCUUCUUGGUUCACUGUCCAGGUAAAGUUUUACUUCUAUGUGUAUACUGAUAUAAAAAUACCAUUUUUUUGCUUCAAGUUGUUGGCAGUUUGGUUUAAAUUGAAAACCCCUAGCUGAAUCGAGGAGUGAUAAAAAUGAAAAUGAUGGAGCACUUACAAGAAUUCUCUAUGUGCUCAAGAGAGUUCAAUGUGCAUUGUUUGAUGUAAGUCACUUUCUCAAGUAAGUCUCUUCUCUUUUCUCUAUUCACUUUUAUUUCAAUUUUUUGUAUUUCACUAGCAGAAUAAAAAAAUAGAUUGUGCUGUUUGACAAUGAAAAUAUGUGAAUCUACAAAAGAGAGAUGACACCCCCAAAGCAGUAAUCAUUACUUGACAGCAGCAAGGAACUUUUGGGUCCUCCUAGGGGCUCAUUGGCUCAUCUUCCUAUCAAGUUAGAGUGCAUUGAGUUGGGCCUUUGGAUGUUAGAAAAAGAUAUUCGUGAUAAUGAAAGCUAAGUUGCUGCAACUUGGAGGCAAGGAACUAUUUUCUGUGUUGAAAAUUCAAGAUAAUGAAAGCUAAAUUUUUGUAGGAUGUAAUGUACAAGAACUAAUAGCUAUUAGGAAGAUUACAUACUUUGUAAUUGGUAUUUACUGAGUGAGUGAAGAGACAAGGCAGUUGCAAUAUGUAGUUAUAAAUUUUUACUUUAAAUGUUAUGAUUAAUUAAAGCAUUGUUGUUGUACCUCUUUGU
Molecule: long non-coding RNA, 976 nt
Organism: Lotus japonicus
Lineage: Eukaryota; Viridiplantae; Streptophyta; Magnoliopsida; Fabales; Fabaceae
Exons: 4
Source: RefSeq, a predicted model, not a curated record